Molecule: non-coding RNA, 611 nt
Organism: Vicugna pacos (alpaca)
Lineage: Eukaryota; Metazoa; Chordata; Mammalia; Artiodactyla; Camelidae
Source: RefSeq, a predicted model, not a curated record
CUGAAUUCCUGUCUGUAAUUUCUUAAUCCUUAAGUCGAUGACAUUAUCUGAGAUGAGAACCUCUGGAUCUUCACUCAAAACAGAAGCCAGUUCUAAAUCUACAUGCAGUUUGGGUAACCAUUCAUGGGUGUGCUUGAGCCAUUGAAGCAUUCCUGGCUAUUGGCCCUUGGGAUGACUGCAUUAAUGUGAUAAACAUUUUCAAUGGUGAUGAUGAAAUCAGUGCAGACAAGGCUGCUUUUAUUUAAAGAGGAAUGAAACGCAUGCUUAAAAAAAAAUGAGUGGAUUGGCAAGUGGAAUCAGAAGUUUUAAAAGAUCUGGCUGUUGCUUGACUGAUUUAAAGGUAUAGAUGUCUCGAAUUACUUCUAACCUUCUCAAAAAAAAUAUGAAAUUACUGUAAGACUAAGCUUGAUAGCUUUCCUUAAUCAGGAUCAAGAUACAUAAACCUUUUGCACUGUUCCGUGUCACAAGAAAAUUCUUUGUGUGACCCCUGCUUAAUGAGUAGCAUUGUACGAAACUGUUUUACAUUUUAAUGAACCAAUGUGGAUGGCUGGAUCUCUGUAUAAUACAUGAUAUAUGAAAUCAUUUUGAAGUGUAUUCAAAGGAUUUAGUUU